This 629-nucleotide ribosomal RNA is filed under the name uncultured bacterium. RNAcentral's name for it is "bacterial SSU rRNA". It matches the Rfam family "Bacterial small subunit ribosomal RNA", at positions 246 to 885 of the family's 1533-position model. The record is from RNAcentral.
UUGUUGGUGGGGUAGUGGCCUACCAAGGCGACGACGGGUAGCCGGCCUGAGAGGGUGACCGGCCACACUGGGACUGAGACACGGCCCAGACUCCUACGGGAGGCAGCAGUGGGGAAUAUUGCGCAAUGGGCGGAAGCCUGACGCAGCGACGCCGCGUGGGGGAUGACGGCCUUCGGGUUGUAAACCUCUUUCAGCAGGGACGAAGCGGAAGUGACGGUACCUGCAGAAGAAGCACCGGCCAACUACGUGCCAGCAGCCGCGGUAAUACGUAGGGUGCAAGCGUUGUCCGGAAUUAUUGGGCGUAAAGAGCUCGUAGGCGGUUUGUUGCGUCGGCUGUGAAAUCCCGAGGCUCAACCUCGGGUCUGCAGUCGAUACGAGCAAACUAGAGUGUUGCAGGGGAGACUGGAAUUCCUGGUGUAGCGGUGAAAUGCGCAGAUAUCAGGAGGAACACCGGUGGCGAAGGCGGGUCUCUGGGCAACAACUGACGCUGAGGAGCGAAAGCGUGGGGAGCGAACAGGAUUAGAUACCCUGGUAGUCCACGCCGUAAACGUUGGGCGCUAGGUGUGGGGCUCAUUCCACGAGUUCCGUGCCGCAGCUAACGCAUUAAGCGCCCCGCCUGGGGAGUACGG